GUUAUUAUUAUCAUAUAAUAAUAAUAAUAAUAAUAAUAAUAAUAAUAAUAAUAAUAAUAAUAAUAAAGAAGAAGAGAAGAGAAAACAAGAAAAAGGGAAGAAAAAAAAGUGUCCUCCAAUGGGGGGGAUGGUGGGUAAAAAAAACGCAUACUGUUUACAUGAGUUUUGUGGUGUACUAAUAGUUCUAGUUUACGACUGUUGGCUUACAAUUUACUUUUUCCCUGUUCAUUUGAUGUGUGGACAACAUAACAAAUGGAUGGAGGGGAUGAAUCUGAUGAAAUAAGUUCAACUCUCUUUCAAAAUACCAGGUAUUUCAUGGAAAUUACAUAAUCCAAUAUGGCCGCCAUCAUAUGACGUCAUAAUAUGCAAAUUAGAUGGGAAAAAUUACUCCCUUCAUAAACUUUAGGUCAUUCUCAAUAUUUGUCUCAUUUACACUUUGUCUCUAUCUCAAACUACAUUCAAGCCAGAGCCUUCUGAAAUUUAGAUGUCAAAAUCUAGUAUUUUUUAAAAUAAAACCAGGCGCCUAAAGGGUUAAAGACUUCAUUUUACUGAAUUGUUAUUAUUUGUUCUCAGGUGGCCAGGAUGCAGACCCCUUCACCGGCUGGACCGUCCCAGACCCUUAAAGCUGCGGCCUGUCACUCUCCUCGCCCAGCUAAGACUGUCCGGACACCAGAUCCCUCAUCGACCUGCUGGCCCUGGAUCAUCAAAGACGGACUCACCACCUCUCAUUCCCCUUCUAAAGAGUGUGACACAAGUACAAGGGAUGUUUGAGAGUUAAAGGUCCUUUUUAAAGCGUCCUUCAAACUUUGAUCAAGAUGACAAGGGGUGACAAAGGUUUAUGAUGGUCUCAAAACAUUUAAAUUUGAAAUAUGGAAUAAUCUGUCAGUAAUGUGUUCAAGUCAAGUAUGAUUAGCAUAAUAAUUUGUAUGUGUAAAAGUGUCAGCUCUUUUAUAUAUGUCCAAUUGAUCGGGAAAAUUUGGUGAAAAUGAUUGUAUGAUUAAAUAGUUGAUAGUUAUUAAUUUAAUUAAAGCUGCAGUAGAUAAAAUGUUUUUAGUCACAUUUGCUUAAACUGUCACUAUGCUAUGACUGUAGUUUAUGAAACAGUCAGGGUUCUCCCCAGACGGUGGAACAGCGGCGCCGCGCCACUAUACCACUAGGUAAGCGCCGCUAUACUCCGCGCGUGACAGUGACGAGCGUCCGUCCGUCAGUCCCCCGGUUGACGGCUAGGAGCUCCCGACUGACGGCGAUGAGUGUCCCCGGUUGACGGAGUUGAUGACCGUCUGUCCAUGUUCCCCCCCUCCGGAUUGACGUUGACGAGCGUUGCCCCCCCCGGACAGACGGUGCGCCGCUACACUAAAAAUUUCUGGGGAGAACCCUGAACAGUUGAUUACCACAACUAAUAUAAAUGAUGUUAACUAGGCUAAUGAUU
This 1429-nucleotide long non-coding RNA is filed under the name Sparus aurata (gilthead seabream). RNAcentral's name for it is "lncRNA (ENSSAUG00010021254.1)". The record is from RNAcentral. Lineage: Eukaryota; Metazoa; Chordata; Actinopteri; Spariformes; Sparidae.